Molecule: non-coding RNA, 6400 nt
Organism: Phalacrocorax carbo (great cormorant)
Lineage: Eukaryota; Metazoa; Chordata; Aves; Suliformes; Phalacrocoracidae
Source: RefSeq, a predicted model, not a curated record
UUUAUAACGUGAUGGCGCUGUGUGAGUCAUCCGUGCUGGGGACUGAACUCGCAGACCUACCGGUCUAAAUCCAAGAGCUGCCACAGCCUGAGGUUUAACAGUCUUUUCUGAAGUGAUGACUGAAGGGACCAGAAGACACCAAACCAGGCAACUGUGACCUCCACAGGCUCUCUACAGGCUCCACAACACCGAAUGCCAGCGCAGAGUUAGCUCUGGGACCUGGCUGUUGCGUGUGUCUGUGAUGUGACAUGGAAAGAUGAACCAGCUGCCAGGAACCCGCUUGGCAGGUAUGAUGCUGUGCAGCGGUUUGUCCAGGCCCUGCCUGUCUGCCACAGAUCAUUACGUGUUCCUGUUUCGAGGCUCUACCUCUCCGUGCUGUCUCAAUGCAACGGAUGCAUUAUUUCUCCUUGGACACAAUAAUUUGACGGUGCAUACUAAAAACCCCAGAACUGUGGAGACGUCCAGCUCCUGAAUUACCUGGGAGAUGUGACAUGUCUAUUACCGCAGGUGUGCACGUGGAUGGAAAAGAGGGCUCACAAGAGCUGUUCUUCCCCGUGGAAGCGCAGAAUGCUGAGCUGUGAUGCUGUCUGUUGAGAGAAACCCCCGUGACACAGAGUGGCAGCUCCCUGCCUGCAACGAGGGUAGCAAACCCAGCCUGAACCGUUAUCUUCAUGUGUGCUGUCGUAGCUCCAGGGACUAUGACCUUGCUUUGAAAGGUAUUUAAUGUCUACAAGGAAGAUACAGUCAAAACAAUUCCCUUCUAUCAAAGUGAAACACGGCAGAAAAAGAAGUGAAAAGAAAGAGUGAGAGGAGACUGGGCAGUAUUUCAGCUGUGCUGAGGAGCAGCUCUUUCCUGUUUUGAGGUGGAUGUCUGCCCAGGGCCGCCUCAGGUGCCAAGCUGGCCCUGGGCGCUCAGGUCUGGAUCCUGAAUCUGAACCACGUCUGAGGAUGGCGCAGCUGGAAAUGGAUCAGGAAACAGAGUUCAGAGGGGACACGGGCAACCUAGUGGUGGCUCUGGCAUCCCCUCUCCCUCCUUCACACGGACAUCUCAUUUACUGUUUUCUUAGUUCCUGUUUAAUACUGGCACAAAGUCUUUUUCCUCUAUAGCAGCUUUAGCAACACGCCUUGCAACGCAGCCCUUCAGGUGGGACAAGGGAAAAACGUGAGUGAAGGCAGGCCUGAGACGUAGUGAGCGUCUGAAGACGCUGAAGCUUCCUUAAAACUUUCUCCCUAAGAUUCAUCCAUUCCUCCAGUGGCAGUAGUCUGGGGCUUGACUCCUCCUCUGUGUGCAGAAUGUUUGCAGGUGGGACACCUUCCUCCACCUAAACCUUGCUUCUGGGUGCCCCAUUAGCCUCCUGCCCACAGCCUCUGCUGCGGGGACUUGUUGGGUCCUUAAACCAAUGGAAGAGGCUGAGGGCAAAUCCAUGAGCUGGACCAAGCGUACUUUGCAGUGUCCUUCCCUGACCUGUGUAAAUCCACCCUUGUGUCCACUCACGCUGUAUCUGCACUACAAGCGCUUUGACUUCUUGCUUUGUCUUCUCACAAUGAGCAAUACCAGUGGAAUCUCAUCCACACCUGCAGUUCUCAGAUGUCACCAUGGUAAAAAUGAUUACAAUACAGCUGUGUGCUUUAAACAUUAUGUCCUGAGGCAGGUGGCAUCUACUAAUAAAAGAUGGAUUUAAUCCUUUGUUACUGGCUCACCCAGAAGUCCUACAUAAUAGGAGCAUUGCUUAAGAGGCAUUCAAGAUCUUGUGCAAUCAUACUUAACCCUUUCAUGAUGCUGCUAGUGACAUUUACGGCUACUCAGAAAUUAAUAUCUCAGAUUUCCAUAAGGCAGACUUUACCCAGGAGAAAAAAAAUCCACUUUUCAAUAUCUGUUUUCAUCCCCGAAUUGAGAAGAAAUAUUUUAACUUCCACAAAACAUGAAACUCUGCAAAAUGUCUACGUCCACUUGACAAAAUCAAGAGACUCAACCCUUUCAUUAAAGGUGGAACAACAACAUUCUGAACAUUCAAAUGUUUGAAAUGUUUCCUUGAAAAGCUAAUUAAAAUAUUCCAUUAAAAAAUUUAAAUUGGAGAUAUAAUAGUAGCAAUAUUUUCUGGAAGAGAGGCAGUAUUUGAGACCGCAUAUUUUGCAAUUGACAGAAAAUCUGGUUAGAACUUGAGAACACAACAGGGAAACUGAGGCACAGCAGAAGCCACAGGACUUGCUCAAAGACAUAGAAGAGUGACUUCAGAGCCGCGGUUAAAAUUCAUGAGGCCGUAACUUUCAGAGCUGCUCUCUGCUGACUGGAACACACCAAGUAGAACCUGUUGUAUCUGAUGCCCUGUACAAGACCUUCAGCACUGUGUGACUUGCUUUCCAGGGUAUGAAGAAAAAUCUCAGGUUUUUAACAGCCCCGCAGUGUCCUGAGUCCCAUGGGCUCAUUUUUCUGUAGCUAUUUAUUUGCUUGGUUAUCCCAGCCCGAGCAGCCUGUGCGAAGUACCCUGAGGUGAUACCCUCAGGCAUUGACUCGAGGGGGAGCUGUUUGCCUGUAAAUGAGAAUAGCACUCAUUCUUUUCAGGCACUGCUGAAUCAUUUCACCUUUUUUUUUUCAGAAUUGUUAUGCACAGUCCUGCCAUUUACCAGGUCAGAUGUCAGAGUCUGCCCCGUCUGUGUGGUGCCUAUGGUCACCUUGCUGGUCACAGGGGUUGGAAGAGCUGGACACAUCACACUUUUGAAGGUGGGGAGGAGUUUGUUAGAUGCGUGAGUCCCAGGCUGUUUUCCCACAAGAUAAUUCAGAUUAAGCAGCAAGGGGAGAACCAGGGCUGCCUGGAGACCCAGAGACGUCCACACAAGCUCCUUAGGCAGUCAUGCAGGCAAUAUGCAGAUAUAGGUAGAUGCGCUGUUAGGAUGUCAGACUUGCCAGACCCACUCUCUGUCUGUCUGUUAACGGAGACCUCGGGGAUGGCUGAAAGGUGAGAGUUCUCAUCCUUCCAGCCAGACUCAGUGUGGAGUUCGAUGACCCAUCUGGCUGGCACCCAAAGCUGAAGUUUUGGGAUUCCCACCCCGAGCUCUGAAGCCAUUUCACCUGCCUUUAAAUAGAACAGGGCUUUGAGGGAAACUGGAACUGGAACAAAGCUCCUUCCCCUCUGUGGGGCCAGCAGGGUCGAUGAAGAAGAAGCUGAGGGUGAAACCAAUUAAUUCAUUCAUUACUGAGCUACUGCAGUCACAAAGAUAUUUCAAUUGUGCUUGCUGGGAGGUCCUCAUGAGAGAUACAUCUCAUUUUCAGCGGGGUCCCCAAGGGGAGGACAUAGUCAGACAAUUUCAUUCCUGCUGACUACAGGGUAAUACAGAUGUUCCAGGGAAAAUGUGCCCUCUUGUCACCUGAAAUUUCACUCCAGAAUAGGCAACGGUUUGAGUGAGAUCAGACCCUCAGUACUCACAAGGAAGCCUUUCAAGCCCCUCAAUCACGAUUCCACCAGAAACCACAUGCUCUGGGCUGUAGUCGUCUGCCCCAAACUCAUCACUGUGGCCUGAAGGGCACAUCAUGCAGCUGUAUUUGCGUCCAUGCCAAUUGUAUGGCCUCCCUGUACUGCAGGCACCCCUUUACUCUCUGAUCUUGUGAGUGAAGUUUAAUGAAUUUAAAUAUGAAUUCAGGUAAUUUAAAAAAAACCUGCAAAGGUCUAAUCACUGAAUAGCUUUUAUUACAAGGUACGGUACUUUUUUUGUGUACCUUUGCACUCCAAAGCAGAGAGCAGAUGUCAGUUGCUUAAUCACAGUGGUGAUUUCAAACCCUUUGCUCCUUCCAGAGAGAUUUUCAGGAGUUCUGCAAUCAGUAUCUCGAAAUCUUCUGAAGAUAUAGCCGUGUAUUGGAGGAUUUGGCUGGGUAAUGUUUCAGGGGAAAAAAUGUCAUCCUGUCUGAAUAUACCAUGUUAGCAAGAGAGAAAAUGUACCUAUCGACAGAUGAACAGACAAAAAGAGCCUGCAAUUCUUGAGAAAUAACCAGAACUUUUCAGUCAUUUCCAUCUACCUGACAGCAAAGUUCACCUGCAAAGCAAGGGCAGGGUCUAAACAGCUAUAGCAUAAUCUGAAAAACACUGAAGUGACUAGGGCUAUGGAGUAAAAGCACUAAAGUGCUGAUGAAUCUAGUCCAUUCCUUUUAUAUAUAGAGGACACAGAUUGUACAAACAGUCCCUUCCUGGGCUGGGCUGAAAUCUCAAGAGGAGUGAUACAUCAACAGGAGGAAAAGACUGAAAUUCAUGGAAGGUUCAGUGACAGCAAAGGAGCAAAGUAAUAACUGCUUCUCCUUUCUUGUCUUGCCAAACAGGGAUUGUUCAUAAAACGGAACAAGCUUUCUCAGUUUUGAGGAAAGAAGGAUGUAUGGAAACAUUGGUUUUACAGUUCUGUAAAAAAAGUCCUUAUACCUGAUGCCAACAUAAUGUGAAACUUUGCUAUGCACUUGGUUAAGUAUAAGAGUAGCCAGGACUGCCUAAAUCCAGGUCAACUGAGGGUGAAUUAAUUCGGGUUUGUAGAUGCAGGUGGCUGACUUUCCAUUAAGUGCCUCAUGCCCCUAUUUCAUGAGGUGCAUGUGCUGAGGGGUGUUGUAUUUUCCAUGCCUGGAAAAUUACUUGGGCUUCUGAAUGGUGAGAAGAAGAGAGGGGAUAAAGGCUUAGCAGAGUCUGUCAGAAACUGAAAGUUUCAUGUUUCCAUGUCCCACAUUCAAUGCUUUUUGUUUUCUUUCAAAGCUCUGAUACAUAUAUAGAGAGAUUUUCUUUCUUCCAUUCCCAUUUUCAGUACCCAGCCAGGAACCAAAAGUGCUAGAAAUACUUCUAAGGGAUGUCUGCAUAGCCAAUUGUCCAAUUUCACAGGCCUUAAUGGCUUCUACUGGAACUUGCACACCCCUCUCUGUCUGCUAUGCUGCACACCAGACACAGCAAAUGUCAAUGACAAAAAGCCAAGGUAAGUGGCCAAAACAAACCCUUUGAUAUACAGGAGACUGAAAGGGAUUAUUUUUCACUAUUUAUUUUUUUUUAUUUUCAAGAUCUUUUAUUCUUAAUAUAUCUACUUUUUAGUAGGAGAAGAAAAGACAUCAAAAGUGUGACACACAGCUAACUUUAGGGCUGAACUGAAUAACUCUUUAAUGACAUAUAUCUUUACAUUAAAAUCCCAGAUGGUCAUUUUCUCAGUCCACUGAAUUUACAAUAUUCAGCAGAUAACUACAGAGGGAAAAAAGCACCCCCCAUCAUUUGAAGCUCUCUCUGGCCAGAUCGCCUCAGCUAUUCAGACACUGGUGUCCCCACAGGUGAAUGCAGAGCCCUUCUUUCCCCCCCAUAGUGCACAGGUCCUGAGUUUGUUCUGCUGUACCACUCCAUCCGCCACAAGCUGAUGCUCUGACAUUUCGGACAAUGCACCAUUUGCCCAGAAGGGUUUUGCCCUGUUAAAAGCAAGCUGGGCCUGCAGACAGCCCUAUUAGCAUCAGUGUACUAAGCAGCUGGGAAAUAAUCUUGCUGGUCAGAGGACACUGAGCCGGGGAUGGAGGCAGCGCACGGUUCAUCUGGCACUGGUGUCCGUGGUCCAUCCUGCUGUAAGCUGAGGGCAGCACAAGCGCUGCCUGGGCAGACCUCCCCAGGGGUAGCUAGAAGAAGGAAGGAUGCAAAACCUUCUCCCUUGCUCAGCAGCCAGUGUGACAGCUGAGACGCCUCAGCCAUUUGGCUGACUGUGACACUGACCUUUCUCUAUAACCUUGGCUACAACCAUCUUCCCAAGCUUUAGUUUCUCCAGCUAUAAAAUUGAGACACCAGCACUACAAUUUGUUUUCUUGCAAUGCUUUCCUAAUGAAGAAAAGCAUGUUUUGCCUCUUAAACCACUCCAUCCUGCUUUGCGGAGCAGCACACACAUACCAGCCAGCUUGAAGUGUUGCAGAUUUGUACCAGGUUGUUACAAGGGGCACAGACGAAACUCAGGGGCUCUGACAGUUGGUCUUUCCCCUGAGCCAGGCUCAUUACCUAACUAACGUCCCUGGUUUGACUCCUAAUUCUCCAGAAAUACACAGAAGAAAACCGAAAGAGUGAAUUAAGAAAUGAACCUGAGAAACAGAGGGGCUGAUUCUCCGCCACCCUGUGCCAAGCCCUCUGUGUGCAUCCUGUAUCCUGCUGCUGGGCUCUGCCUGCACGGGAGGAUGAGCAGGAACUGCCUCUGAAAGCCUCAAUCCCUACAUUUAUUUAAGCAAAGCUUCAGAUGGCUGACGGGGAUCAGUGUAAAAUGAAUGAUUCCACAUGGCAGCGCAGUCAUAUCCCCCUCCUUCCUUGGCUUUUUUCUUUCCUACAAGAAAAAUGAAAUCCCCAAAGUCUGUCUGCCUGUCUGCUGCUUUCAGGGGGGUGGGUGGUUGCUCUGCUUAAUCAAACUCUGGUGUUCUCAA